GGCGAACGGGUGAGUAACACGUGAGAAAUCUGCCCCUGACUCUGGGAUAACUGCGGGAAACUGUAGCUAAUACCGGAUACUUUCCCUGGUGGGCAUCCACUGGGGAAGAAAGAAUUUCGGUCAGGGAGGAUCUCGCGGCCUAUCAGCUAGUUGGUGAGGUAACGGCUCACCAAGGCGACGACGGGUAACCGGCCUGAGAGGGUGACCGGUCACACUGGGACUGAGACACGGCCCAGACUCCUACGGGAGGCAGCAGUGGGGAAUAUUGCACAAUGGGCGCAAGCCUGAUGCAGCAACGCCGCGUGAGGGAUGAAGGCCUUCGGGUUGUAAACCUCUUUUAGCAGGGAAGAAGCGAAAGUGACGGUACCUGCAGAAAAAGCACCGGCUAACUACGUGCCAGCAGCCGCGGUAAUACGUAGGGUGCAAGCGUUGUCCGGAAUUAUUGGGCGUAAAGAGCUC
This 459-nucleotide ribosomal RNA is filed under the name uncultured Microbacteriaceae bacterium. Its description in RNAcentral is "bacterial SSU rRNA". It matches the Rfam family "Bacterial small subunit ribosomal RNA", at positions 97 to 570 of the family's 1533-position model. The record is from RNAcentral. Lineage: Bacteria; Bacillati; Actinomycetota; Actinomycetes; Micrococcales; Microbacteriaceae.